Molecule: long non-coding RNA, 337 nt
Filed under: Lathyrus oleraceus (garden pea)
Lineage: Eukaryota; Viridiplantae; Streptophyta; Magnoliopsida; Fabales; Fabaceae
Description: Pisum sativum (pea) long non-coding RNA (PSAT_LNC041589)
Source: RNAcentral
AUGCUCUAUGGUUUCAAGGGUGAUUUCUUUUUCGUGUCUUUUUUCAAUUUUUCACCCUUUCAUAAGAAACUCACUUUUCCAAGUUUCUAAUCACUUCUCAAUUUACUCUCCCCAACUUUAGAUUCCAAAAUCAAAAUUAUUCAAUAAUGCUCCCUACUUAGACAUAAGCAAAAGGCAAAAUUUUGCAAACAACUCGGUUUGAGGUUUCAACUGAUACGAAAGGAAUUAGGAUUCAUUUAUUCCAAAAUUUUCAAUUGAUUUUACAAUGAUCAAUCAAAUGAAUCCUAAAAUAAGCUCAAAGGGGUUUAACUAAGGAUUAUUCCUCACAAGGUUAGUU